UGGGGAAUAUUGGACAAUGGGCGCAAGCCUGAUCCAGCCAUGCCGCGUGAGUGAUGAAGGCCCUAGGGUUGUAAAGCUCUUUCACCGGUGAAGAUAAUGACGGUAACCGGAGAAGAAGCCCCGGCUAACUUCGUGCCAGCAGCCGCGGUAAUACGAAGGGGGCUAGCGUUGUUCGGAUUUACUGGGCGUAAAGCGCACGUAGGCGGACUAUUAAGUCAGGGGUGAAAUCCCGGGGCUCAACCCCGGAACUGCCUUUGAUACUGCUAGUCUUGAGUUCGAGAGAGGUGAGUGGAAUUCCGAGUGUAGAGGUGAAUUUCGUAGAUAUUCGGUGGAAAACCAGUGGCGAAGGCGUCUCACUGGCUCGAUACUGACGCUGAGGUGCGAAAGCGUGGGGAGCAAACAGG
Molecule: ribosomal RNA, 404 nt
Filed under: Actinomycetes bacterium
Lineage: Bacteria; Bacillati; Actinomycetota; Actinomycetes
Description: Actinobacteria bacterium partial 16S ribosomal RNA
Rfam family: Bacterial small subunit ribosomal RNA
Source: RNAcentral